RNAcentral lists this transfer RNA (72 nucleotides) under Dendronephthya gigantea. RNAcentral's name for it is "tRNA-Gln". It matches the Rfam family "tRNA". From Rfam's summary of the family: Transfer RNA (tRNA) molecules are approximately 80 nucleotides in length. Their secondary structure includes four short double-helical elements and three loops (D, anti-codon, and T loops). The record is from RNAcentral. Lineage: Eukaryota; Metazoa; Cnidaria; Anthozoa; Malacalcyonacea; Nephtheidae.
GGUUCUGUCGUGUAAUGGUUAGCACUUUGGACUCUGAAUCCAACGAUCCGAGUUCAAAUCUCGGCAGGAACA